GAUGAACGCUGGCGGCGUGCUUAACACAUGCCAGUCGAACGGUCAAGGCGGAGCCUGCCCUGCUGGAUCAGUGGCGAACGGGUGAGUAACACGUGAGCAAUCCGCCCCUGACUCUGGGAUAUGCGCUGGAAACGGCGUCUCAUACUGGAUACGAUCUGCGAAGGCAUCUUCUUCAGCUGGAAAGAACUUCGGUCAGGGAUAGGCUCGCGGCCUACCAGCUUGUUUGUGAGGUAGCGGCUCACCAAGGCGUCGACGGGUAGCCGGCCUGAGAGGGUGACCGGCGACACUGGGACUGAGACACGGCGCAGACGCCUACGGGAGGCAGCAGUGGAGAGUAUUGCACAAUGGGCGAAAGCCUGAUGCAGCAGCGCCGGGUGAGGGACAACGGCCUUCGAGUUGUAAACCUCUUUUAACAGGGAAGAAGCGAAAGUGACGGUACCUGCAGAGAAAGCGCCGGCUAACUACGUG
This 468-nucleotide ribosomal RNA is filed under the name uncultured bacterium. Its description in RNAcentral is "partial 16S ribosomal RNA". It matches the Rfam family "Bacterial small subunit ribosomal RNA", at positions 28 to 507 of the family's 1533-position model. The record is from RNAcentral.